Long non-coding RNA from Pygocentrus nattereri (red-bellied piranha), 532 nucleotides. RefSeq lists it as uncharacterized. The record is from RefSeq and is a predicted model, not a curated record. NCBI's taxonomy places the organism in Eukaryota, Metazoa, Chordata, Actinopteri, Characiformes, Serrasalmidae. The transcript has 2 exons.
AGAGGAUGACCAACACAAACUGAGCAGCAGCAGAUGAGCUACUGUCCCUGACUUUGACAGUGGAGGAGCCGGUCACUGAAGGAGCUGCCCAGUGCUGCAGCUGCCUCCUGUAGUGGGUGAGAGGGGUUGUCCAUUAUGAAUGCAAGCUUGGCCAACAUCCUCCUCUCCGCCACGUCCCCCGCUGGGUCCAGCGCACAGCCCAGGACAGAACCAGCCUUCCUGAUAAGCUUCACAUGUUGAUUUUGAACAUUUAGGGUAUUUUCCAAUAGAAAGUUCCCUAUAAAUUAUGAGUUUGCAUAUAUUUAGCUUUGUACUAUCUCUAUUAAUUCCUUGAGUAUAAAUAGAUCAUAACAUGAUCCAGAUGGUCCAUAUCCAGAAGUCCACUGUCAGGACCUAAAAGACUCCAGAGUUGCAGAAACACUCUAACAUGCUCUUGUUAUCGCCGAUGAUAACUGCGACUUCUAUUAAACUGUAAGACUUUUUGACUUUUUCUCCACAGCCAUAAUUUAAUAAAGGCCUUUUCAUUUUCAAA